GUAACGCGUGAGAACCUGCCUUCAGAAUGGGGACAACAGUUGGAAACGACUGCUAAUACCCAAUGUGCCGAAAGGUGAAAGAUUUAUCGUCUGAAGAUGGGCUCGCGUCUGAUUAGCUAGAUGGUGGGGUAAGAGCCUACCAUGGCAACGAUCAGUAGCUGGUCUGAGAGGAUGAGCAGCCACACUGGGACUGAGACACGGCCCAGACUCCUACGGGAGGCAGCAGUGGGGAAUUUUCCGCAAUGGGCGAAAGCCUGACGGAGCAAUACCGCGUGAGGGAGGAAGGUCCUUGGAUUGUAAACCUCUUUUAUCAGGGAAGAAGUUCUGACGGUACCUGAUGAAUAAGCAUCGGCUAACUCCGUGCCAGCAGCCGCGGUAAUACGGAGGAUGCAAGCGUUAUCCGGAAUUAUUGGGCGUAAAGCGUCCGUAGGUGGUUUUUCAAGUCUGCUGUUAAAGAAUGGAGCUUAACUCCAUAGGAGCGGUGGAAACUGAGAGACUAGAGUACAGUAGGGGUAGCAGGAAUUCCCAGUGUAGCGGUGAAAUGCGUAGAUAUUGGGAAGAACAUCGGUGGCGAAAGCGUGCUACUGGCUGAAACUGACACUGAGACGAAAGUA
RNAcentral lists this ribosomal RNA (614 nucleotides) under Synechocystis salina LEGE 00038. RNAcentral's name for it is "bacterial SSU rRNA". It matches the Rfam family "Bacterial small subunit ribosomal RNA", at positions 110 to 761 of the family's 1533-position model. Lineage: Bacteria; Bacillati; Cyanobacteriota; Cyanophyceae; Synechococcales; Merismopediaceae. The record is from RNAcentral.